GGGGGUGGAUUGGGCCUGGUGGCCUGCCUGGACUUCAAAUCCAGUGGGAGGCGGUGAUCCCGUCUUCGGUGGGUUCGAUUCCCACACACUCCC
This 93-nucleotide transfer RNA is filed under the name Calderihabitans maritimus. Its description in RNAcentral is "Selenocysteine transfer RNA". It matches the Rfam family "Selenocysteine transfer RNA". Lineage: Bacteria; Bacillati; Bacillota; Clostridia; Neomoorellales; Calderihabitantaceae. The record is from Rfam by way of RNAcentral.